CAAUAGCGUAUAUUAAAGUUGUUGCAGUUAAAAAGCUCGUAGUUGGAUUUCUGGUGGGAGCGAUCGGUCUGGCGCUUAGCGCGAGUACUUGCAUCGUCUCCGGCCAUCCUUGGGGAGAGUCUGUCUGGCAUUAAGUUGUCGGGCAGAGGAUCCUCAUCGUUUACUGUGAAAAAAUUAGAGUGUUCAAAGCAGGCUUAUGCCGUUGAAUAUAUUAGCACGGAAUAAUAAGAUAGGACUUUGGUACUAUUUUGUUGGUUUGCGCACCAAAGUAAUGAUUAAUAGGGACAGUUGGGGGUAUUCGUAUUCCGUUGUCAGAGGUGAAAUUCUUGGAUUUACGGAAGACGAACUACUGCGAAAGCAUUUACCAAGGAUGUUUUCAUUA
Molecule: ribosomal RNA, 382 nt
Filed under: uncultured eukaryote
Lineage: Eukaryota
Description: partial 18S ribosomal RNA
Rfam family: Eukaryotic small subunit ribosomal RNA
Source: RNAcentral